UCCAUGGUGGCUCAAUGGUAAAGAAGCUGCCUGCAAUGCAGGAGCCUCAGGUUCAAUCCCUGAAUUAGGAA
This 71-nucleotide transfer RNA is filed under the name Bos taurus (domestic cattle). It matches the Rfam family "tRNA". From Rfam's summary of the family: Transfer RNA (tRNA) molecules are approximately 80 nucleotides in length. RNAcentral also lists the same sequence under 1 other name. Lineage: Eukaryota; Metazoa; Chordata; Mammalia; Artiodactyla; Bovidae. The record is from Rfam by way of RNAcentral.